RNAcentral lists this ribosomal RNA (494 nucleotides) under uncultured bacterium. RNAcentral describes it as "partial 16S ribosomal RNA". It matches the Rfam family "Bacterial small subunit ribosomal RNA", at positions 28 to 507 of the family's 1533-position model. The record is from RNAcentral.
GACGAACGCUGGCGGCGUGCUUAACACAUGCAAGUCGAACGGAAAGGCCUGCUUUCCCUUGUGGAUUGCGGGUACUCGAGUGGCGAACGGGUGAGUAACACGUGAGUGAUCUGCCCCCAACUUGGGUAUAAGCCUGGGAAACUGGGUCUAAUUCCCGAUAGGACUGCAGGGUGGUGCCUGUGGUGGAAAACGAUUUUCUAGUGGUUGGGGAUGAGCUCGCGGCCUAUCAGCUUGUUGGUGGGGUAAUGGCCUACCAAGGCGGCGACGGGUAGCCGGCCUGGGAGGGUGGACGGCGAGAUUGGGACUGAGAUACGGCCCAGACUCCUACGGGAGGCAGCAGUGGGGAAUAUUACACAAUGGGCGGAAGCCUGAUGCAGCGACGCCGCGUGGGGGAUGACGGCCUUCGGGUUGUAAACUCCUUUCGACCGCGAGGAAGCCACCUGGUUGGAAGGGUGGUGACGGUAGUGGUAGAAGAAGCACCGGCUAACUACGUG